RNAcentral lists this transfer RNA (85 nucleotides) under Felis catus (domestic cat). It matches the Rfam family "tRNA". Rfam says of the family: Transfer RNA (tRNA) molecules are approximately 80 nucleotides in length. The record is from Rfam by way of RNAcentral. RNAcentral also lists the same sequence under 6 other names. Lineage: Eukaryota; Metazoa; Chordata; Mammalia; Carnivora; Felidae.
ACCUGGUUGGCUCAGUCAGUUAAGCAUCUGAUUUCAGCUCAGGUCAUGAUCUCGCAGUUUGUGGGUUCAAGCCCCAUGUCAGGCU